AAAAAAAAUAAUAAUAAUAAUACAACAAAAACACCAUCAGAAGAUAAAUAUCUGAUAAAUCAGAGAUCAAUAGCUAACAACACAUCAAUCUUCAGCUAGCAAUUCCAAAGCUACUCUGUUAGCUAUUAGGGGAAAAAAAUGAUCCGUAGUCGGACGCAAGAAACUUCAAGUAAAAUUCAACUUCUCUAACCAAAAAUUGGCAGAGAAAGAAAAUCCUAGCAACAAUAUGAGAACCUGCUAGGUUUUUCCCCUCCAUAUGUCAAUCAGAACUCAAAAUCACGCGCGAAUUUGGAAUUUGAAGUCACCAACUUAGAAAGCAAAGAAUGUUAGCUAUGCAAGACAAAGCCACAAAGUAAGAACUUGGAAUUCAAUACCGCAACAAACAAUUGAGCAUCAGAAAGAGUGAAGAUGAAGAAACGAGCGAAGAUACAGCACAUAUACAGAUUAAAUUAAAAUUUUUACUUCACACAAGAGAAAUUGUACAGACAUCUUUGAAUUGAAGGAAGCCGAG
Molecule: unclassified non-coding RNA, 511 nt
Filed under: Hevea brasiliensis (rubber tree)
Lineage: Eukaryota; Viridiplantae; Streptophyta; Magnoliopsida; Malpighiales; Euphorbiaceae
Source: RNAcentral